GGGUGGAGAAUUGUAAUAAUAAACUGGUGGUGGAGGAGAUGGAGAUGGUGGGGGCGGAGAAUUGUAAUGAUAAACUGGUGGUGGAGGAGGUGAUGGUGAAGGGGAGGGAGGUGGGGGUGGUUCAAUGCAAGGAGGAGGUGGUGGAGGGGGUUCUAUACAAGGCAAUGGGGAAGGAGGUGGAGGAGGUGAAGAAUAUACGUAUGUUGGUGGUGGAGGAGGUGAAUUUGGUGGCGGAGGUGAUGAGUAUAUGCAUACUGGUGGAGGAGGAGGCGAAUUUGGUGGUGGAGGCGGCGAAUUUGGGGGCGGAGGUGCUGGUGAAUUGUAAUAGUAAGGUGAAGGGGGUGGAGGCGAGUGAGCAAGCGGUGGAGGUGGAGAAUUAGGAGGUGGGGAAUUUGGUGGUGGAGGUGAGCGUAUACAAUAAGGCAAUGGUGAUGGAGGAGGUGGAGAUGGUGGUGGCGAAUAAACGGGUGGGGGAGGAGGUGGAGGUGAUGGUGGAGGGGGAGAUGGUGGCGGUGGUGGUGAUGAAUAAACUGGUGGUGGAGGUGGAGAUGGCGGGGGUGGUGGUGGAGGUGAUGGUGGAGGAGGAGAUGGAGGUGGGGGUGGAGGUGAAUAGACUGGUGGUGGAGGCGGGGGAGGUGAUGGAGGAGGUGGAGAGGGUGGUGGUGGCGGUGGUGAAUAAACUGGAGGUGGAGGAGGUGGUGGGGAAGGAGAAGGAGGAGUAUAAACUGGUGGCGGAGGCGAAUAAACAGGUGGCGGAGGGGCAGGCAAGGGCGGUGAAAGUGGCGGAGGAGGUGGCAAAACAGGAACAAAUUUAUGACACCUGAAAGCACUACAAUGAAUUUUUUUAGACAAAAAGGCCUUACACUGUCCCGGAGAGCGUUGCACCGGUCUGUUGGGCAAACAAUUCCGUUCAUCAUGAAACUCCGGCAACCCCAAACACACCGGCGGUUCACCAGUGAAGAAAUUAUAAGA
RNAcentral lists this long non-coding RNA (972 nucleotides) under Solanum tuberosum (potato). RNAcentral's name for it is "long non-coding RNA (STUB_LNC011166)". Lineage: Eukaryota; Viridiplantae; Streptophyta; Magnoliopsida; Solanales; Solanaceae. The record is from RNAcentral.